UCCCGGGCCACCCGGCCUGCGGCGGAAUGUUGCGUAAAGGGAAAGGUCGUAUUCAAGCCCUGCAACCACACGAACUCUAAGUAAGCCACGAAUAGGCUGUCCCAACUAACGGCGGGAAAAACUCCACGGAGGGUGUAAGACCCGUGUGGGCGUGUGUCAAUGUUGCAUGGGUUCGGCCUCUUCUCUGAGAGUCGCGUUGCUUGGGCAUGCAGCGCUAAGCAGGUCGUAAACUCGAUCUAAGGCUAAAUAUUUCCACAAGACCGAUAGCAAACAAGUACCUUGAGGGAAAGUUGAAAAGCACUCUGAAGAGAGAGUCAAAAGACCGUGAAACCGUUCAGAGUAUAAGCCCAUGGCGCUUGGAAGGCUCCCGCUUAGCAUAAUGCCUAUCGAAGGGUUGACAACCAGUUGGAGUUCGUUAGGCUGUGCGCGUUAAGUCGUAUCUGGCCGUCGAUCGGGAUGGCGCCGCUGCGUUUGAACAUGUGUUCCUGCGUGCGCGUCUUCUUUUGGUUGGACGUUCUGGCUCUGGCUCUGUCGCUGCGGUACCAUAAGCCCACCACGGUUCGUUGUGAGGUCACCCACAGGCUCAAACUGUCGAUCGUGUGUCCGAUCACCGUGCAAUUAACGAGGUUGUCUGUUGGAGAGAGGAAUUCCUCCUCUCUCUCCUUCCUCUCCGAGGCGCAUGUGUGUGUCGGGCCAGGCGGCGAAACGAGUAUAUCCUGGUAUGAUCCUCUUGCGACGAUCUGAUUCUGACCGGGCUCUGAUUGCCAAAGGCGUGCUCACAGUCGUGGGUCGCUAGCAGUAAACACCGUAUGUUCCCUCUGGACGACUAUUUUUAUUAAUAGCUCGCCAUGUACUCGGUGAGGCAAUAGAAGAACUCGUGUGGUGUUAAGUCCGGCACCAUCGGUCACGUCUCGAAACACGGGCCAAGGAGUAUAGCAUGUGUGCAAGUCUAAGGGUGUCACAAAACCUGCAGGCGAAGUGAAAGCAAAGUUGUGGCGAGAACGCCUUAUUGCAGUCUCGUCAGCUAAGUGACAGUUUACUGUUGUCUGGCUUAAACAGAGCUGAUCCUGUUCCGUUGACUCAAUUGUCUCAAGGCAGGCGCAGGCUCCGGGCUCAUAUCUUACACUGGUGCUUUAAUUGGUGCUGUGUUGUGAGCACCGUGGAGCAUGCAUGCUAUAACCCGAAAGAUAGUGAACUAUGCCUGGCGAGGGCGAAGCCCCAGGAAACUGGGGUGGAGGCCCGUAGCCG
Molecule: ribosomal RNA, 1248 nt
Filed under: Orchomenella franklini
Lineage: Eukaryota; Metazoa; Arthropoda; Malacostraca; Amphipoda; Lysianassidae
Description: partial 28S ribosomal RNA
Rfam family: Eukaryotic large subunit ribosomal RNA
Source: RNAcentral